UAAGCGUACACGGUGGAUGCCCUGGCAGUCAGAGGCGAUGAAGGACGUGCUAAUCUGCGAUAAGCGCCGGUAAGGUGAUAUGAACCGUUAUAACCGGCGAUUUCCGAAUGGGGAAACCCAGUGUGACUCGUCACACUAUCAUUAACUGAAUCCAUAGGUUAAUGAGGCGAACCGGGGGAACUGAAACAUCUAAGUACCCCGAGGAAAAGAAAUCAACCGAGAUUCCCCCAGUAGCGGCGAGCGAACGGGGAGGAGCCCAGAGCCUGAAUCAGCAUGUGUGUUAGUGGAAGCGUCUGGAAAGGCGCGCGAUACAGGGUGACAGCCCCGUACACAAAAGCGCAUGUGCUGUGAGCUCGAUGAGUAGGGCGGGACACGUGGUAUCCUGUCUGAAUAUGGGGGGACCAUCCUCCAAGGCUAAAUACUCCUGACUGACCGAUAGUGAACCAGUACCGUGAGGGAAAGGCGAAAAGAACCCCGGCGAGGGGAGUGAAAAAGAACCUGAAACCGUGUACGUACAAGCAGUGGGAGC
RNAcentral lists this ribosomal RNA (529 nucleotides) under Salmonella enterica subsp. enterica serovar Tennessee. Its description in RNAcentral is "bacterial LSU rRNA". It matches the Rfam family "Bacterial large subunit ribosomal RNA", at positions 12 to 580 of the family's 2925-position model. The record is from RNAcentral. Lineage: Bacteria; Pseudomonadati; Pseudomonadota; Gammaproteobacteria; Enterobacterales; Enterobacteriaceae.